This 253-nucleotide ribosomal RNA is filed under the name uncultured bacterium. RNAcentral's name for it is "partial 16S ribosomal RNA". It matches the Rfam family "Bacterial small subunit ribosomal RNA", at positions 524 to 776 of the family's 1533-position model. The record is from RNAcentral.
UACGAAGGGGGCUAGCGUUGUUCGGAAUUACUGGGCGUAAAGCGUGCGCAGGCGGUUCGUUAAGUCAGAUGUGAAAGCCCCGGGCUCAACCUGGGAACUGCAUUUGAAACUGGCGGGCUUGAGUAUGGCAGAGGGGGGUGGAAUUCCGCGUGUAGCGGUGAAAUGCGUAGAUAUCAGGAGGAACACCUGUGGUGUAGACAGCUUACUGGACCAUCACUGACGCUGAAACACGAAAGCGUGGGUAGCAAACAGG